This 375-nucleotide ribosomal RNA is filed under the name uncultured bacterium. Its description in RNAcentral is "bacterial SSU rRNA". It matches the Rfam family "Bacterial small subunit ribosomal RNA", at positions 28 to 404 of the family's 1533-position model. The record is from RNAcentral.
GACGAACGCUGGCGGCGUGCUUAACACAUGCAAGUCGAGCGGUAAGGCCCCUUCGGGGGUACACGAGCGGCGAACGGGUGAGUAACACGUGGGUGACCUGCCCUCAGCUCUGGGAUAAGCCUGGGAAACUGGGUCUAAUACCGGAUAUGACUCCAUGACGCAUGUCGUGGGGUGGAAAGCCUUGUGCGGCUGGGGAUGGGCCCGCGGCCUAUCAGCUUGUUGGCGGGGUGAUGGCCUACCAAGGCGACGACGGGUAGCCGGCCUGAGAGGGCGACCGGCCACACUGGGACUGAGACACGGCCCAGACUCCUACGGGAGGCAGCAGCGGGGAAUCUUGCGCAAUGGGCGAAAGCCUGACGCAGCGACGCCGCGUGA